GUUCAUUAUGCACUCCGGCAAAUCAUAAAACAGACGGGGGGAAAAAGAGAUUCGAGACGAAUUUUCACAUCUGGAGUAGUGUUCUUCGAAAUGUGUGAGGAUGUGAGGAUGAGAAUGAAAAUUUUAUAUGGUUUAAGUUAGCGAACGACGAGGUUAGGAAUCAAUUUUACGAUAUAAGGUUGUUAAUACAUUGUAAUGAAUUCUAUGGAAAAUCUAUGGAAAAUAUGGAAAAUACGAUAAUUUUUAUAAUAAUAUAAAGUAAUAUGUUUGAUUAUUGUCAACUUUUUUCUCUUUAACGUCAAAUAAUUAUAAAAAUAAAAAAGGCAGCAAUGUCCAAGCCCGGUCUGAACACGACGAAGGAAUGGUGGAGAACCCACACGCGUGAGUGGAUUUUUCCAAUCGAUAUGAUUUAAAUGGCGUUUUAAGAAAGCUGAAGACCACGGGGGAAAAACGGACGAGCCGGUGUUCGACUCAAAUUGUAAUUUAUACGGCUAUUACCGUGCCGCACGUUCGCCAUUAUAAAUUGUCGCGCUGUAUCUGCCGGCGUUCUUAUUUAUAGUUCCGUAAAUAAAUACCCGAGAUAAUGUGCCGCGGCCGGCCAGUGUAUUUGCGAUUCUAAUAAGUGUACAUUUAACGCGAUGUAUUCGGGUAAACCGCGAAUGACGCAUUGCGAGGGUAAUUAAGCAAUUACAAUGUUGGGAUAUAAUGUUGUUGUCGUUCGAGGAAGAAUGAAUGUUUGCAUACCCUCCUGGAAUUGUAAUAACUCGUAAAGAAGAUCUUUCUUUUAAAAUGUAAGUUUGUAAAUAUUUUAUAUUUUAUCAAAUAUACAUAUCAUUAAUCGUCAAUAAGUGUUUUUUUUAAACUUGAAAGAAGAAAAUUUCACAAAUUUAUGUAUUAUGUCAUCCGACAUGUAACAUGUUUGUCCGUCGAAUCGUCAAGAUGUACGUGUAUGUAUAUCUGGUCAUUUCGCAGAGCGUAUUAACACUGGCAAUUCAACAGUGUAGUAAUUAAACGGCAAAAUGAACAGAGAGAGUGAAACGAGUGCGGAAUACUCGGCAACAGAGUGGUUUCAUUGCGAGAGCGCGUGUCCUUUUUUUUUCUUUUUUUUUUUUCAGUAAAAAGGAGUGUAUCCUCUCAUUCCAAUUUGAAAAUCCACCCGUGGUGGUUGUCCACGUGUCUGUUCCAACUGAUUCAUACGCGCGCAUUUGCAUUACGGACGCGUCCCCGUCGAGCGACACGACACGUUAUUCGAAACGUGUUGCAUUAUUCUAAUCAAGAUCCCUAAUACCGACACUAGUUUUUGCUUUUAUUCGCACGUGGGCAAUGCGGCUCGUUUGUACUCGUAAUGAGCCCGAUUGGGUGUUAUACGUCGCCAUGUUUAAUUCUACGGACGGUUUCGAACGAUCUUUUCAUUCGAACAAAUCUCUUCUCUUUCUCGAUCAAAAUUAUUAUCUCAUUAUUAUCUCAUCGAAUUAUUAUUAUUGUAAAAAUUAAUAAACUUAUCUUCAAUCGGUAUAUCCGUUUAAAAAUACAAUUGUUAUAAUUGAAUAAUUACAAUUAAUUAAUAAUUGGUCGUUACUUUUUUAUAAAAUAUAUUUCACGAUAAAAUUAUAUAUAAAAAAUAUAUGAUCUAGUUAAAAAGUCAAAAUUGACUCAUAGACUUUCUAAAUCGAAACAAUUCGCAAGUUGGAACAAGUUGGAUAAUUUACGACACACCUAUCAAACGCGUAUGAUUAAGAAGAUCGAAUUCGCUACUUGCUAAAGUGCUUCUGUCUAACAUUAUACGAAACAGCAUCAAUUCCCUCUUUCGAACUGUUCCUGAACAUCGUAGAUCCAUUAAUCACCACUUAGAAGUCAUUUUUCAAUACGCAUCGAUCAAUUUAUUGAUAGCAACAAGAUCGAUACGCGAUCGCCGCCUUCGAUAAGUCUCGUCGACAAGGGCGAGGAACUCUGAUUUAGUGGCGACCCUAUAGGAUGGUGAUCGAGGAGGAACAGAGCAAAGGAAUGGACGAAGAGAGAAGAAGCGUCGAACGUGGCAAGAGCAACGGGAAAAAUAGGAAAGCGCAGAAGGCGGCGGCAGCAGCUGAAGAAGGAGGAAGUCGAGACACGCGUGUAACAAGCGUCGUUGGCAUUAAUUUAGAAUGAGCUCUACGACCCUAUGCAAAUCUCUCGUGUACAGGAAAUCCUAAGAAGCCGACCAGACUAUGAAACGUCGCCUCUCUCUCUGCUCAUCCACACCGUUUUCUUCCAACCGCGGCAUGUUUGAAAUUACCAUCAACCAGCAUACGACUUAUUCCUCGGUCUCCGAUAACACGUUACUCUUCCUUCUUUUAAGUUAUGACACCUGAACUCUUGCCAACGUUUAAUAUCCCGCAUCUUGCGAUAUCAACACUUCCGUUUUUAGCUAAGAUAACUUAUGGCUAUGAUGAAUCGAAUUAUUCGCCGCUACUUCUAUAAGCGUGUUCAGUAAUCAACGAUUUUGCUGUAAACAUUGUCGAUAAAGAUAAAUUAAUUGAACAAAAAAAAAAAAAAAAAGAAGAAUUGCUGGUGUGAAGAAGAUGAAAAGUUAACGAGGAAAAAUUAGUAAUUUCAUGGCGCUAUCGAGUUAUUAUAAUGAUCAGGUAUAAUUCAAGAUUAUAUCUUAUGCAUGAUGUAACAUGUUUGAAAUGUUAAAUUUAUGUCAAAUUUGCUGUUUAUAUGAAAUUCAUAUGAGGUAUGCGUAGAAUUUAAUUAGAUUAUUAUGCAGUUAUUCCAAGUAAAAAAAGUAUCAUUUGUUCUAUUUAUAUCACAAUAUUGAAAGAAAAAUUUAAUAAAAAAUAUGUUUCUACUUACUCGGACGAAGACAAUUUUCGUUUGCGCUCUCCUGUAUUGAAGUUUUCUAAAGAAGCUUGAUAAUCGGCAUACCUUUGUAAUUUAUAGGUACUCGUUUUAGCUAAAACUUUCAUCACUUCGUUGACUUGAUCCCGACGAUGUAAUUCUAUGUAUGCGGAUAUAUCACUUAACCAUGACACAUGCACACUUCCUGUAACAUAAAUGAUUUUAAUUCUAUUAAUAUUGUAUUUGUAUAAAUAAAGAUAUAAUUAUCAAAUAAA
Apis cerana (Asiatic honeybee) is the source of this 3092-nucleotide long non-coding RNA. RefSeq lists it as uncharacterized. The record is from RefSeq and is a predicted model, not a curated record. Lineage: Eukaryota; Metazoa; Arthropoda; Insecta; Hymenoptera; Apidae.